This 807-nucleotide ribosomal RNA is filed under the name uncultured bacterium. RNAcentral's name for it is "bacterial SSU rRNA". It matches the Rfam family "Bacterial small subunit ribosomal RNA", at positions 8 to 796 of the family's 1533-position model. The record is from RNAcentral.
AGAGUUUGAUCAUGGCUCAGAACGAACGGUGGCGGCGUGGAUAAGACAUGCAAGUCGAACGGGAUUUCAAUUGUAGCAAUACGAUUGAAGUCCAGUGGCGCAAGGGUGCGUAACACGUGGGCAAUCUGCCUGGGGGCGCGGGAUAGCUUGGCGAAAGCCAAAUUAAUACCGCAUGUGGCUAUCGAGGGAUUCCUCGAAACGCUAAAGACGGCGCAAGCUGUCACUCCCGGAUGAGCCCGCGGCCUAUCAGCUAGUUGGUGAGGUAACGGCUCACCAAGGCUAUGACGGGUAGCUGGUCUGAGAGGACGACCAGCCACACUGGAACUGAGACACGGUCCAGACACCUACGGGUGGCAGCAGUCGAGAAUUUUUCUCAAUGGGGGAAACCCUGAAGGAGCGACGCCGCGUGGAGGAUGAAGGUUUUCGGAUUGUAAACUCCUGUCAUUUGGGAACAAACCUUUCAUUUAACCAGUGAAAGACUGAUAGUACCAGAAGAGGAAGAGACGGCUAACUCUGUGCCAGCAGCCGCGGUAAUACAGAGGUCUCAACCGUUGUUCGGAUUCAUUGGGCGUAAAGGGUGCGUAGGCGGUCGCGCAAGUCGGAUGUGAAAUCUUAGGGCUCAACCCUGAAACUGCAUUCGAUACUGCGUGGCUCGAGUACUGGAGAGGAGACUGGAAUUUACGGUGUAGCAGUGAAAUGCGUAGAUAUCGUAAGGAAGACCAGUGGCGAAGGCGAGUCUCUGGACAGUUACUGACGCUGAGGCACGAAGGCCAGGGGAGCAAACGGGAUUAGAUACCCCAGUAGUCC